UGCAGCAGGAAACAUUCUAUAUACUGCUUCGGGUAAUCCAAUGGUCACUGCCAGCUCAAUACCAAUCCAAUUCCUACUUUGGUUUUUAUGGUUUUUUAUGCAUAAUUAAUCCUUUCAAUUAAUGAAAAACAAUGGCUUCUUGAAAACCAUCAGUGUCAAGGAAACAAGAGAAUAUUAAGCCUCUACACAUAUAAAUUAAUACCCUUAAAAAUAAACAAAACAAGUUUUUACCAUAAAGCCAAAGAUUAAAAAUUGUUUUGUUUCUCUCUUCUUCAUCGACGAUAGCCGGCGAUCAAUGACGGCGCCACCGUCACCUUUCCAACAAACCCAAACUUCCCACACCCAAACCUAUGUGAAAACCUUACAACCAGAAAUUCAUAUCCAGUUUUCCGUAUAAAGCCAUAAACGCAAUAGAUG
RNAcentral lists this long non-coding RNA (417 nucleotides) under Lathyrus oleraceus (garden pea). Its description in RNAcentral is "Pisum sativum (pea) long non-coding RNA (PSAT_LNC006896)". Lineage: Eukaryota; Viridiplantae; Streptophyta; Magnoliopsida; Fabales; Fabaceae. The record is from RNAcentral.